Molecule: ribosomal RNA, 178 nt
Filed under: bacterium
Lineage: Bacteria
Description: partial 23S ribosomal RNA
Rfam family: Bacterial large subunit ribosomal RNA
Source: RNAcentral
GGAGUUCUGAGUAAGGGCGUGCGGUGGAUGCCUUGACUCUAAAAGGCGAUGAAGGACGCGGCUUAGCUGCGAUACGCUUCGGGGAGGUGCUAUGCAACCUGCGAUCCGAAGAUUUCCGAAUGGGGAAACCCCAUCGAGUAACCCUCGAUGACUCUCUACUUAAACGAUAGGGAGGGCA